UAAAACCAGCACCUCAAGUGGUCAGGAUGAUUAUUGGGCCUAAAGCAUCCGUAGCCGGCUUUGUAAGUUUUCGGUUAAAUCCAUGUGCUCAACGCAUGGGCUGCCGAAAAUACUGCAUGGCUAGGGAGUGGGAGAGGUAGACGGUACUCAGUAGGAAGGGGUAAAAUCCUUUGAUCUAUUGAUGACCACCUGUGGCGAAGGCGGUCUACCAGAACACGUUCGACGGUGAGGGAUGAAAGCUGGGGGAGCAAACCGGAUUAGAUACCCGGGUAGUCCCAGCUGUAAACGAUGCAGACUCGAUGAUGCAUUGGCAUAAUAGCCAGUGCAGUGUCGCAGGGAAGCCGUUAAGUCUGCCGCCUGGGAAGUACGUACGCAAGUAUG
This 381-nucleotide ribosomal RNA is filed under the name uncultured crenarchaeote. RNAcentral describes it as "bacterial SSU rRNA". It matches the Rfam family "Archaeal small subunit ribosomal RNA", at positions 471 to 851 of the family's 1478-position model. RNAcentral also lists the same sequence under 2 other names. Lineage: Archaea; Thermoproteati; Thermoproteota. The record is from RNAcentral.